CUCCACUGGAGGACUGUUGACUGUUUCAUUAUGGUCUCCAGUCACCUGAGGCAGCACUGAGCAGCAGAUUGCUGAGAAGUUCACUUUCCCUCCGGUCUGCACGAUGGCCUUUGUAACCUGGCAGUUUUCUCUGGUUGCCCUCAUUAUUCACACCAGUGCUCGGACUUGACCACAGCUGAAACCUGACUGUGCUGUUGGCAGCUUAGGAUCAUGGUGACUUUUCUCAAGGGGUACAUUUACUGCGAAGAUGCCGGGAAACUAAGAGCUCAUGAAAGGACCAAUUCCAACAAUGAAUCAUCUGUCUCUUUAUACUUUCUUACUUUAUCCCCAAGCCCAUUGGUUCCUACUGAGGUCCUAAGGCUUAAGGGUUGUUUUGUUCUGGCACCUGGCACCAGGGGGCACCUGGAUCUACAGGACGCGCCACCACAACAUCACGUGACGCUUCUGAUGAUGACGACAGACGCAGCCGUCGAAACUGUCAAGGUA
Molecule: long non-coding RNA, 486 nt
Organism: Epinephelus fuscoguttatus (brown-marbled grouper)
Lineage: Eukaryota; Metazoa; Chordata; Actinopteri; Perciformes; Serranidae
Exons: 5
Source: RefSeq, a predicted model, not a curated record